CUCCGGUUGAUCCUGCCGGACCCGACUGCUAUCAGAGUGGGACUGAGCCAUGCGAGUCAACAUAGCAAUAUGUGGCAUACGGCUCAGUAACACGUAGUCAACAUGCCCAGGGGACGCGGAUAACCUCGGGAAACUGAGGAUAAACCGCGAUAAGUCACUACUUCUGGAAUGGGUAAUGACUCAAAUCUAUAUGGCCCCUGGAUUGGACUGCGGCCGAUCAGGCUGUUGGUGAGGUAAUGGCCCACCAAACCUGUAACCGGUACGGGCUCUGAGAGGAGGAGCCCGGAGAUGGGCACUGAGACAAGGGCCCAGGCCCUAUGGGGCGCAGCAGGCGCGAAACCUCUGCAAUAGGCGAAAGCUUGACAGGGUUACUCUGAGUGAUUUCCGUUAAGGAGAUCUUUUGGCACCUCUAAAAAUGGUGCAGAAUAAGGGGUGGGCAAGUCUGGUGUCAGCCGCCGCGGUAAUACCAGCACCCCGAGUGGUCGGGACGUUUAUUGGGCCUAAAGCAUCCGUAGCCGGUUCUACAAGUCUUCCGUUAAAUCCACCUGCUUAACAGAUGGGCUGCGGAAGAUACUAUAGAGCUAGGAGGCGGGAGAGGCAAGCGGUACUCGAUGGGUAGGGGUAAAAUCCGUUGAUCCAUUGAAGACCACCAGUGGCGAAGGCGGCUUGCCAGAACGCGCUCGACGGUGAGGGAUGAAAGCUGGGGGAGCAAACCGGAUUAGAUACCCGGGUAGUCCCAGCUGUAAACGAUGCAGACUCGGUGAUGAGUUGGCUUAUUGCUAACUCAGUGCCGCAGGGAAGCCGUUAAGUUUGCCGCCUGGGGAGUACGGUCGCAAGACUGAAACUUAAAGGAUUGGCGGGGGAGCA
This 867-nucleotide ribosomal RNA is filed under the name uncultured archaeon. RNAcentral describes it as "bacterial SSU rRNA". It matches the Rfam family "Archaeal small subunit ribosomal RNA", at positions 1 to 878 of the family's 1478-position model. The record is from RNAcentral.